GGCAUAGCUCAAUGGCAGAGUAUCUGCUUGGCAUGCAGAAACUUCCAGGUUCAAUUAUUGGCAUCUCCA
This is a non-coding RNA of Podarcis lilfordi (Lilford's wall lizard), 69 nucleotides long. The record is from the annotation of a GenBank genome assembly. Lineage: Eukaryota; Metazoa; Chordata; Lepidosauria; Squamata; Lacertidae.